RNAcentral lists this long non-coding RNA (250 nucleotides) under Gossypium barbadense (sea-island cotton). Its description in RNAcentral is "long non-coding RNA (GBAR_LNC013572)". Lineage: Eukaryota; Viridiplantae; Streptophyta; Magnoliopsida; Malvales; Malvaceae. The record is from RNAcentral.
GGGGUGGUCUCUCCAUCCCUCAUUAUAGGUAGCUGAAUAUGGAUCAUACCUCCUCUGAUUUGGAAAGACGGCGUUAGCUUCCCCUUCCUGUAAUGUCAGACACAUAUCUGUGGUAUGUCCUUCUAAACAACAAAUGCCACAUAUUGAAGCUUUCACAGUACCUCCAGUCAUCAACUUACUUACCAUAGCCGUUAAAUUAGCUAGUUGAGCCUCCAUCAUGCUCGACUGGCCUUCAUCCAUUCGUUUACCC